CCUACGGGGGGCUGCAGUGGGGAAUAUUGGACAAUGGGCGAAAGCCUGAUCCAGCCAUGCCGCGUGUGUGAAGAAGGCCUUCGGGUUGUAAAGCACUUUCAGUGGGGAAGAAAGCCUUGGGGCUAAUACCCUCGAGGAAGGACAUUACCCACAGAAGAAGCACCGGCUAACUCCGUGCCGGCAGCCGCGGUAAUACGGAGGGUGCGAGCGUUAAUCGGAAUUACUGGGCGUAAAGCGCGCGUAGGCGGUCUGAUAAGCCGGUUGUGAAAGCCCCGGGCUCAACCUGGGAACGGCAUCCGGAACUGUCAGGCUAGAGUGCAGGAGAGGAAGGUAGAAUUCCCGGUGUAGCGGUGAAAUGCGUAGAGAUCGGGAGGAAUACCAGUGGCGAAGGCGGCCUUCUGGACUGACACUGACGCUGAGGUGCGAAAGCGUGGGUAGCAAACAGGAUUAGAUACCCGAGUAGUC
This 465-nucleotide ribosomal RNA is filed under the name Vreelandella stevensii. RNAcentral's name for it is "partial 16S ribosomal RNA". It matches the Rfam family "Bacterial small subunit ribosomal RNA", at positions 338 to 795 of the family's 1533-position model. Lineage: Bacteria; Pseudomonadati; Pseudomonadota; Gammaproteobacteria; Oceanospirillales; Halomonadaceae. The record is from RNAcentral.